This 847-nucleotide ribosomal RNA is filed under the name uncultured bacterium. Its description in RNAcentral is "bacterial SSU rRNA". It matches the Rfam family "Bacterial small subunit ribosomal RNA", at positions 505 to 1349 of the family's 1533-position model. The record is from RNAcentral.
GUGCCAGCCGCCGCGGUAAUACGUAUGGGCGCAAGCGUUGUCCGGAAUUAUUGGGCGUAAAGAGCUCGUAGGCGGCUUGUCGCGUCGGUUGUGAAAGCCCGGGGCUUAACUCCGGGUCUGCAGUCGAUACGGGCAGGCUAGAGUUCGGUAGGGGAGAUCGGAAUUCCUGGUGUAGCGGUGAAAUGCGCAGAUAUCAGGAGGAACACCGGUGGCGAAGGCGGAUCUCUGGGCCGAUACUGACGCUGAGGAGCGAAAGCGUGGGGAGCGAACAGGAUUAGAUACCCUGGUAGUCCACGCCGUAAACGGCGGGCACUAGGUGUGGGCAGCAUUCCACGUUGUCCGUGCCGUAGCUAACGCAUUAAGUGCCCCGCCUGGGGAGUACGGCCGCAAGGCUAAAACUCAAAGGAAUUGACGGGGGCCCGCACAAGCGGCGGAGCAUGUGGCUUAAUUCGACGCAACGCGAAGAACCUUACCAAGGCUUGACAUACACCGGAAACAUCCAGAGAUGGGUGCCCCCUUGUGGUCGGUGUACAGGUGGUGCAUGGCUGUCGUCGGCUCGUGUCGUGAGAUGUUGGGUUAAGUCCCGCAACGAGCGCAACCCUUGUCCCGUGUUGCCAGCAGGCCCUUGUGUGCUGGGGACUCACGGGAGACCGCCGGGGUCAACUCGGAGGAAGGUGGGGACGACGUCAAGUCAUCAUGCCCCCUUAUGUCUUGGCUGCACACGUGCUACAAUGGACCGGUACAAACGAGCUGCGAUACCGUGAGGUGGAGCGAAUCUCAAAAAGCGUCUCAGUCGAUGGGGUCUGCACUCGACCCAUGAAGUCGGAGUCGCUAGUAGUCCGCAGAU